AGGUGUUGCACGACUGUCGUCAGCUCGUGUCGUAAGAUAUUUGGUUUAUUCCUUUAACGAGCGUAACUCUUAUCUUUAAUCUUUACUUUUGUUUUCAGGAUUUGAAAAUAUAAGCUUUAAAGAGACUGUCAGUGAUAAACUGAAGGAAGUGAGAAUUAAGUCAAGUCCCUGUGGCCCUUAUGGGUUGGGCUACACACGUGCUACAAUGAAAAUCACAGAAAGUUACUUUAAUUUUUUGAUGUUUUGUUAAUCUUUAAAAAUUUUCGUAGUUCGAAUUAUAAGCUGCAACUCGCUUAUAUGAAGUUGGAAUCACUAGUAAUCGCAAAUCAGAAUGUUGCGGUGAAUAUGUAUCUUGGCCUUGUACACACCGCCCGUCACACCAUGGGAGUCUAUUGCACCAGAAGUAGGUAGCCUAACGAAAGAGGGCGCUUACCACGGUGUGGUCGAUGACUGGGGUGAAGUCGUAACAAGGUAGCCGUAGGGGAACCUGCGGCUGGAUCACCUCCUU
RNAcentral lists this ribosomal RNA (508 nucleotides) under Asterionellopsis glacialis. RNAcentral's name for it is "partial Bacterial small subunit ribosomal RNA". It matches the Rfam family "Bacterial small subunit ribosomal RNA", at positions 1036 to 1532 of the family's 1533-position model. Lineage: Eukaryota; Bacillariophyta; Plagiogrammaphyceae; Rhaphoneidales; Asterionellopsidaceae. The record is from RNAcentral.